RNAcentral lists this long non-coding RNA (5113 nucleotides) under Nicotiana benthamiana. RNAcentral describes it as "long non-coding RNA (NBEN_LNC016354)". The record is from RNAcentral. Lineage: Eukaryota; Viridiplantae; Streptophyta; Magnoliopsida; Solanales; Solanaceae.
AAUGCACAUCCGAAUUUAGGAAGGUAAAAUUAUUAAAGAACGUGUCUAAAGCGACUAGCGUGUCAUUUAAUUUUGUGGGAAGCCAUGAAUUCACUAAAUGUCACGUCCCAUAUUCUAAACAUUUUUUAAAAGGAGUAAUUAAAGAGGGACACGCAAUUUAUAAUUUUUAUUUGGCGCGGCGCACCUUAUUUUAUUUUUAAGGUCAUCCUAAAGAAUUAUAAUUUUUCUAUCAAAUAUUGUCUCUAAAAGAAGCCCUAAUUUAUUAGUAUUGCUAGUGAACCAUUACUAAAAUAUUCAGAUAAAUUCGGGCCCCAAGGUCAAGUCCAAAUCCAAAUUAUCUUGGAAGGCCUAAAUUUGGGCCUAAAAAUCGGCCCAGGUGGGAGGCAGUUCGAUCAUGUAGUUGGACAGAUCAUUUUUGAGUUUAGGCUCUAAUUGAGCAAAAUUCAAAGUGAGGAAACGUGAUCAGGGAUAUGAACUCUUCAGCUGGGCCUACAUUAGGCCCAUUCUUAUAGUCCAAAUAACACGAGCCCAAGCUAAACCAAUCUCAACAUGGAAAGAAAAUAGAGGACCUGAUGAUCUUAUUUCAAACGGGAUCUGAUAUCAAUUAAACUGAUUCAUGUUGGACCGGGUAUCCUUCAGUUGCUUUGGGAUUCAAAUCUUCAUCUUGUUUGUUUCAUAAUGAAUUAGCAAAUGAAUCUAACAGUCUCACAAUGUCGAUCAUAAAACAAAUUAAUCCAGGACUCGGAAUUGAUAUUAAUUAUUUCUCAUGGUAACUACCUCUGUUGAGAUCACAUUCUAGGCUUGAACUUCAUGACGCAACAAUCAGAACCGGCCAUUUUUUGAUCUAGCUUUAAUGACAGGAUGUCUAAGUAAUGAUAAUCAGUCCAGCAAUUAAGGGUUAGAACAGUCCUAAUUAUAGAAACAAUUACAGACAUUUGGACUAUGUGAGGUUAAUGCAGAUAAACAACUUGCACUUCAUUACUUCUUCAAAUUCGUUUGUACAUCUAGCUCAAAUCUCACGUAUCAUUCUACGCAGAGACAUGUACCUGGAGAUUGGAACACAGUAAGAAGAAAGAGAAAUAAACAGCAGGAAAUGCAUGUAACAGCAGCAACAAUUUAAAAUCCAAACCAACACCAUAAAGCCCAGGAAAUGACAGCGAAUAACAAAUAAGCUUGAUUAAAACCCAAAUAGACUCGAAAAUAGAUCCCAGGUAUCUCUGAACCUUCAGCAAUCACACACAAGGAUUUCUCAAGUCAUUUUCCUUUUUUUUUUGUUGAAUAAACAGAUUUUCUAUUCCAUUCCGUCAAAAAAUUGUACAUCCAAACAGAGAUGCUGACCAUCUAUACUCACAUGCUAUACAGUCACUACACCUAUUAUCAAUCUAAUAAGAUUUGCAAUAUCACUAUUUGAUAGUAAAUGUGACAAUUCUGUCCAAAAGCAGCCUAGGGGUAAUGGUUUAAGCUUAGUAAAACGACCUUUCAUUUAUGAAUUGAAGCUCCUCUUGAGUGGAAAUGGACUGCUAUUUCCUUACCGACAGAAUCGCUCAACAUAUUCCCUCAUUGGAAUCUCAUUUUAUUGCGCUCUCUCCAUAUCACUGUCACCAGGACCCCAAACAGACAGGCAGUGAUUUCUGCUACACCAGUUCUACUCCUUGCCACAUUACUUACCCAGUCACAUUCCUUCUUCCAGUCAGAAAUUGGUCGUUUAUAACCUAACCAGUUUAGGAGCCGACUCCAAAUUGCUUUAGUCUUCAAACAGUCAAAGUACAGAUGAUCAAAAGUCUCACGAGACAUUCCAUAGAAAAUACAUUCCUGUGGAAUCAGGAAAUUGAGUUCCUGGAGUCUGUCCACAGUUGCCAAUCUCUUACGCAGAGCCAACCACAAAAUAAAUUUAUACCUGGGGUGUAAUUGAGCUUGCAGUAUGAUGGUCUUCCAUUGGACUUUAAGGUAUUGAGGGUGUUGGAGUCUGUAUAACUUCUUGGUUCUAAAUAAAUCACCCCUCUGAAGUUGUAGCAGUCGACUGUCCAGAUUUCCGUGAAGAGUUGCAAUUCCAUUUAUCAACUCUCUCGACUCAAAGAUUUUUGUUAUUGCCCAAGCAGCAGAUCCAGGCACCGGCAUGUCAUCAAUACAGUAAUUUUUAAUAUAAAAAGUAUGCACCCAUUUUAUCCACAGACUAUCCUUCUUCUUGGUCAGUGCCUAUAGGUGCUUUGCAACAUCAUACUUAUUCCACUUGAUCAGGUUCAACACAUUUAAUCCCCCUGCACUGUAUGGCAUACAGAGUGUUUCCCAGGCAAUCAGAGCUUUCCUUGACACUGUAGCUGAACUUGUCCAGAGAUAUGAUCAGCAUAUUGCUUCAGUCAUCCUCAUAACUUUUUUAGGCAGUAGAAAUAUUGGGGACCAAUAGGCUUGUACACCAAACAAUACUGAUUUUAUCAGCUGAAGUCGACCAGCAUAGGAGAGUAGCCUUGAUGACCAACAACUUAUUUUCUGUGUGAUUUUCUCAACUAAUGGCCAACAUUGAGCAAUGAUCAGUUUCUUUGAAUCCAGAGGCAUCCCCAGAUAUUUAAAUGGAAGCCUGCCUUCAGGAAAACCCGAAGCCUGUAAGAUCUCCUCAUUCUGCCAGUUUGUUACACCUGCUAUGUGCACAACACUUUUAUCACCAUUUGCUUGAAGUCCAGAAGCUUUGGAGAAGUUCUGGAAAGCCUGCUUCAGUAAGAUUACAGACUGAAUGUAUGCCAAUGUCUGCUUUACAGAACAUAAGAAGAUCAUCCGCGAAGAAAACAUGUGCUACACCCAGCUUCUUACAUCUAGGAUGGAAUUGAACUCUUUCCUCAUCAUCAUUUGCAUAAAUUCUCUUUGUAGAUACUCCAUGGCCAGAACACACCCAACUUCUUACAUCUAGGAUGGAAUUUGAACUAUUUCCUCAUCAUCAUUUGCACAAAUUCUCUUUGUAGAUACUCCAUGACCAGAACAAAGAGGUAUGGAGACAUAGGGUCGCCUUGACUUAUGCCUCUUCUUCCUUUAAAUGGAGCAGUGAGUCCACCAUUGAUGUUGAGAGAGUAGGUGACAGAGGAUAUGCACUCCAUUACCCACCCUAUGAAUUUAUAAGGAAAGCCCAAGUCCUGCAUCAGUCUUUGUAGGAAGCACCACUCAACUGUAUCAUAAGCUUUCUUUAAAUCUACUUUAAGAAAACAUCUAGGUGAAAUUCCCUUCUGGAGUAGCCUUCGAACAGUUCUUGCGUAAAUAGAAUGUUAUCUGUGAUGCUACAACCCUCAAUGAAUGAUGACUGUGAUCUUCCAACCAGAUAGUAAAUAACUGCUUUCAACCUAGCUAUAAGGAUCUUAGUGAUGGUUUUGUACAGAGUUGUACAACAUGUAAUGGGUCUAUAAUCCUUCACUUUGCUUGGAUUUUGCACUUUAGAAAUUAGUGUUAGUGCAGUGCUGCUAACUCCUUUAUGCAACUUCCUAGUGAGAAAGAAUUCCCUCACAGCUUCACAUAUGUCUUCCCCCACUACAUGCCAAUGCCUUAUAGAAAUUCAAUAGAAAUUCAAAUCAAUUGCUAGAAUUUGAAACUAAUCUAAGAGAAACUUCAAUAGAACAAUUUUUUUGGGAGUUUUCUAUUACUAUUUUUUUGGUUUUUGAAGAUUCAAAAUCUAGAAGGAACUCUCAACUCUCAGAUUUCAGUUUUAUUUGUGAAUUUUUGAAAUUCAAAUUUAAGAUCUCUCAAACUUGUGAAACAAGACAGUAGAGAUUGCCUUUUAUAGGCAAAAGUUGAGGGUUUUCUCAGAUUUCGGUUUUACACCUUAGUCCCUCUUUUAUUUUCAAUUUUUAGCUAGUUAGACCCUUAUUUACUGACUUGUUUCUCAAGUUACUGCACUAAGUUACUAAAAUUCUAAUUAGAACCCCAUCUAGAAUAUUCUAGGGGCUUCCAAUUCAGUUAUUAAAAUAUUCUCUAUUUUGAAUUGCCCCAACUCCCCUUGAACUAAGUCUGAAAUUAACCAAGGUCGACUAACCAGGGCUGGCAUCAUUCAGCUAUAACCAAACAACUCCUAAAAUUGAAUUAAUAAAUCCAACUAAUCUAAUUAGGGUUGAAAAUUAAUUCUAAUCAACAUUAUGUCCUAAAACUAAUUAAACAAUGAACUAACCAAAAUAUUGAAUAAACAAAAUGGUUAUUCCAACGGGAAACUUGUACGAUGAAAAUGGAAAACAUGAAUAAUCUAGAAAAUCAACAGCAAACCAGAAAUCAAUCAAAACAAAAUUAAAGCUAAAACCUAAAUAAAAUCAGUAGCAAACAUGACUCAUAUCAUUGAAAUCAGACACAAAAUCAAACAAAGCAAAACAGAAUAGAAAUUAAAGCAAAAUAGAAACAAAAACAUACUCAAAGGAGCGAGAAUCAAUUAAAAUCCUAAGAAACCUAAAUCAAUCAACAAGGAGAACAAUUAAUCAGGGAAUAAUAUGACACAGAAAAUCAAAUGAAAAAAAAACUUACCGAUUUCGAUCUAACUUCGAAUUUAAAAACUCAAACGAUGUUAUUAGCCUAUCUUAAGGUCAAACGAACACUUGAAAAUCUGAGCCAAGCCGAAAUUCCUCCAGACCUCGAAUUUGAAUCCUAACCCCGAGAUAUGAAUGGUUUUGGCUGGAUUCGAAAGGAGUUUGUUUGAGAUAUGGGAAGAUGAGUUCAAGGUGAGUCUAAGGUAUAAAUUUGGUUGUGUUUGGAUGCUGGCGUCGCCACCGGACACUAAAGGCGACGGUUAGGGUUAGGGUAUUUGGGAGUGUUUUAGUGGGUUUUGAGAAGAAAUAAUAGUGGAUCAACGAUGGGGAGAUAAAGAUGAAGCCCUGGUGUGAAUUUGGAUGCCAUCUGACGAGAUAGUGUUUUGGGAUCGAGACUUUGAUUUAAAAUUCGACGAAUUUGAGAGAAAUUAAGGGUGGAUUUAGAAAGGGGGGAGGGGGUAAAGAAGGGUUUACAGUGUAAUUUUGGAAGAAAUCGGAGGAUCACUGCCACCGUGGGGCGAUUUCCAGCUGCGAUUUAGGCGGAGCCGGCUGAGGAUGGUGGAGCGUCUUUCAAGAGAGUGGGGUGAGAGAGAGAGACUUUAGGGGGGUGUUGGGUAGGUCUC